RNAcentral lists this long non-coding RNA (1083 nucleotides) under Heterocephalus glaber (naked mole-rat). RNAcentral describes it as "lncRNA (ENSHGLG00100040658.1)". Lineage: Eukaryota; Metazoa; Chordata; Mammalia; Rodentia; Bathyergidae. The record is from RNAcentral.
ACGAUGAGGGGCAGGUGGAGCUGGCUUGGUCCUCCCGCUUCCCAGGAGCCCACCAGAGAGGUCCCUCACAGGAACAAUGGAUACUCUCACCUCCCAGGAAAUUCCAGAGGACGAGGACCUGUGUGCUGGACCCUCCUAUCACUCAGGAAAUGACAGACAUCCUAGGAGCUCUGGAACUGGGGUCAAAGACCCGAUACUAGAACAAACAACCUCCCAGUGCCCCUGUCUGCAAGGGCUUCAGCAGCUGUAGGCCAGGGACCAGGGCAGAGAUCAAUGUGUCUAUUUCUCAUGAUUUCACAAACCACACACAAGGCAGCAGGGGACAUGUCAGGAAACACUGCAGUCAUCGGAGCUGGACCCGCUGACCAGAGUGACCAGGCUGCAGGAACCCAGAGACCUCACCAUCAGACAGGGAUGCAAGGGCAGAGUUGAGGACAAUUUCAAGCUCUGGGACUCAAUCCGUCACUGCAGCGACCCUGGAACUGGGAUGUGUGCCAUGGGUGUGAGGACCCAGCAUGCAGCGGGCUUCCGGGACAUUUUGCUCCACAUCUUUCUCCCGAAGAGACCUUGCUGUGUUCUGAGUUACCUGGCCGGGUGCUGGCUGCACGGGAGGCAGGCAGAACUUGGCAGUCUGGAGAUGUCUGUGCAGCCACAGCAUCCAGGAGACCUCUGCUCCUCCCCACAUCCACACUGGCCAGGCAACCUGGCCGCUGGGAAGGGGGACUGGGUGACCUUCGGUGGGGGACAGACCUGCCUGUUAGCACAGCACAGCAGGGAACCCCGCUUUACCAAGUCCCAGCUCUGCAAUACCAAGAUAUUCAACCCACCACUAACGUCUCCCUUUCUUUGUCUGUGAAAUACCCCAGCAAAAUGUCUAACUCAGUCGCUGUUACAGUUUACGUAACUAUUAACAAGAUUUUAAAAUGCUCUAGUUGGGGGGAGGGUCUCUAACUGGACCCUAAAGCAAACCCCACCCACAUCCUUCCUGCCAGAUGAGCCUGCGCCCCUCCCCAAGCUCAAAGAGUGGAGCUGUCUAGGGCUGGAACCCGCUUUCCUGACCACAGCCCCCUUCCUGAGCCAGGC